Molecule: ribosomal RNA, 773 nt
Filed under: Pseudonocardia sp. SH2
Lineage: Bacteria; Bacillati; Actinomycetota; Actinomycetes; Pseudonocardiales; Pseudonocardiaceae
Description: bacterial SSU rRNA
Rfam family: Bacterial small subunit ribosomal RNA
Source: RNAcentral
UGCUUACACAUGCAAGUCGAGCGGUAAGGCCCUUUCGGGGGUACACGAGCGGCGAACGGGUGAGUAACACGUGGGUGACCUGCCCUCCACUCUGGGAUAAGCCCGGGAAACUGGGUCUAAUACCGGAUAGGACACGUUGAUGCAUGUCUUCGUGUGGAAAGUUUUUUCGGUGGGGGAUGGGCCCGCGGCCUAUCAGCUUGUUGGUGGGGUGAUGGCCUACCAAGGCGGUGACGGGUAGCCGGCCUGAGAGGGCGACCGGCCACACUGGGACUGAGACACGGCCCAGACUCCUACGGGAGGCAGCAGUGGGGAAUAUUGCGCAAUGGGCGGAAGCCUGACGCAGCGACGCCGCGUGGGGGAUGACGGCCUUCGGGUUGUAAACCUCUUUCGCCAGGGACGAAGCUUUUGUGACGGUACCUGGAGAAGAAGCACCGGCCAACUACGUGCCAGCAGCCGCGGUAACACGUAGGGUGCGAGCGUUGUCCGGAAUUAUUGGGCGUAAAGAGCUCGUAGGCGGUGUGUCGCGUCGGCCGUGAAAACUUGGGGCUUAACUCUGAGCGUGCGGUCGAUACGGGCAUCACUUGAGUUCGGCAGGGGAGACUGGAAUUCCUGGUGUAGCGGUGAAAUGCGCAGAUAUCAGGAGGAACACCGGUGGCGAAGGCGGGUCUCUGGGCCGAUACUGACGCUGAGGAGCGAAAGCGUGGGGAGCGAACAGGAUUAGAUACCCUGGUAGUCCACGCCGUAAACGUUGGGCGCUAGGUGUGGGGACCAUU